GGCAUACUAAUAAAUUACUAAAAUUCCUAGAAUUUUGAUUCAUUAAAUAAAAGAGGCAAUUUUUAAAUAUAUGCAAACCAUCAGAAAAUAAAAUCUACUAUUUUUCGUGUGCUCUACUCAUUUCAUAGAACUUAUACACAAAUUUGCAUCAUUUUUGGAUUAGCACACAAUUUUCUACACAAAUUCAAAUAUCAAGCAUUUUUAACUCGAAAAGGAAAAAGAAAACAAAAAACAGCCGGGAGAGGCCCAGCCAAAAAGGCCCGCAGGCCGGCCCACUUCCGCUCGGCCC
RNAcentral lists this long non-coding RNA (289 nucleotides) under Sorghum bicolor (sorghum). Its description in RNAcentral is "long non-coding RNA (SBIC_LNC015911)". The record is from RNAcentral. Lineage: Eukaryota; Viridiplantae; Streptophyta; Magnoliopsida; Poales; Poaceae.